AAGGUGCAAUCGGGAUGGAUUGUGCAAACCUUGGGAUUUCACUUUCAAAUAAAUCUGCUGCUUCAGCACCACCAUUAGCUGACAAUGCAAAGAAUCAAGCUAGCUCAAUGGUACAAGUAAACUCUCCUACAUUGGUGAUCCUGAUGCUGUUUGCUGCUAUGCUUCAUUGGAAAUAGAGAAUUAGUUGUUCCAGGCUGUUUUUCGCACCAUACCUUUGAACCCGUGGGUGAUUGCUGCGGUAUUUAUUUGAUAUCGGUUGACAUAUUUAGUUAGCUCUCAUGUUUGGAUAUAGAUUUUCCGGUCAGAUGAAUAAGUUACUACACUCAUUUUUCACACAUAGAUAGAGUGAAGAAGAUUUUUGUUUGUUUUGUACAUAAUUGAUAACCCUGCUGCGGACUACUGGAAUAAGAGACAUGAGUUCAUGUUUACA
Prunus avium (sweet cherry) is the source of this 430-nucleotide non-coding RNA. The record is from RefSeq and is a predicted model, not a curated record. Lineage: Eukaryota; Viridiplantae; Streptophyta; Magnoliopsida; Rosales; Rosaceae.